RNAcentral lists this long non-coding RNA (1568 nucleotides) under Solanum pimpinellifolium. RNAcentral describes it as "long non-coding RNA (SPIM_LNC000017)". Lineage: Eukaryota; Viridiplantae; Streptophyta; Magnoliopsida; Solanales; Solanaceae. The record is from RNAcentral.
CCUAUUUGGUGCUGCUUGAAAGGCCUUUUGUAAUGCAAAAAGUAGAAGGGAAACCUUAUCAUCAAACAUGGUACCCCCUCCUUCCAGCAAACCCAAAAGGUUGUUUGUCACAUCUGGGGGAGCAUGUGUAUCAAAUUUGAGAUAGCCUGAUGAAACUAAAGCACCCAAGAGGUUAAUAAUUCCAAGCACAAUUUCAUCACUUUUAUCAACAUUGUAUGCAUUAUUCCGAGCAUUUUCAGCACUUAUUGAAAAGCUUAUACCACCCAGGUUUUUUAGAAAUGCAUUCUCUGGGAUAGACUGCAUCUUUUCAAUAGUAGACCUAGUGGAAAUUGUGGUGCCUGCACCAUUCAAGGACUCGGGUACAGAUUCCAUUGCAUUCAAAGUUGUCUCUCUUUCUUUUGUAAAUCUUGUUUCACCAACUUCACUACUUCCAACGGGACAAUGUGCUUCAGUAUCCAGUUCAGUUUCCUGGGCUAAUGCAGCAGUGGCACUAUGGUCUACAGAGGAUAUAUCAUCACAAUCUCCAAUCUUAAUUUCGCGCUGCAAUAGGACAAGAAGUGUUUCUAUACCACCACAAGACAAAAAUGCAUCAGCAAAGGUUUGAGCCCUGGACAUAUUUGGCUGUACAACCAACCUGUACAUGAGAUGUAGCACCCUGGCAACCUGAAAUAACAAAAAGUAUUAUAUUAGACUCAAAUAGAAAGUAAGGCACAUCCAUUGGGAAGUAUCAGUUAAGAAAAUGAAGUAUCAAGAAAGUUCCCUUUUAAGAAUAAGAUUUUACUGCCCCAGUAUACAUAAGGUAGUAAAUUGCUACUGUGUGGAGAAGGGAGCGAAGACAACAAAACACCUCUUGUUCAAUAGACAGCCAUUAGUGGGAAGUGUUCCUGAACAUCACUGUGGAAAAUGUCAUGCCCUUACUCCAAGAGUUAGUUUGUUGUUGGAGUGGAUGCAGUUAGAGAAGACUAAGAAUAGAAGGGUAUUUGGAGGAUAAUAUCAGCCUCAUUUUAUUUUUGAGGAAUGAGAAAAAACAGAGGUGCUUUGAAGGAAAGACUACAGCCGAACAUAGUAAAGUGCAAAAGGUCUUAUACUGUAUCGAAAAGCACAAAAUGUCUUAGUUUGUUAGCUAUGUGGUGAAUUUACUGCAUAUGCAUGAUGAAAAGAACAUGAGGGUUCCCAAAAAACAGCCUCUCUACUUCUAUGAGGUAGUGGUAAGGUCUGCGUACAUUCUACCCUCCCCAGACCCCACUUGUGGGAUUUCACUGGGUAUGUUGUUGUUGUUGUUGUUGUUGUNUCAUCAAACAUGGUACCCCCUCCUUCCAGCAAACCCAAAAGGUUGUUUGUCACAUCUGGGGGAGCAUGUGUAUCAAAUUUGAGAUAGCCUGAUGAAACUAAAGCACCCAAGAGGUUAAUAAUUCCAAGCACAAUUUCAUCACUUUUAUCAACAUUGUAUGCAUUAUUCCGAGCAUUUUCAGCACUUAUUGAAAAGCUUAUACCACCCAGGUUUUUUAGAAAUGCAUUCUCUGGGAUAGACUGCAUCUUUUCAAUAGUAGACCUAGUGGAAAUUGUGG